CAGGGACCAGUGGUCUGGCUUGGAAAACUACUUCUUAGUGGUUCAGUAUGUUCACAAAUUUCCUUAAGCUUCUCAGAAGAUAAACAAUUAGGUGGGAUCAGAGAGCGAGAGAGUGAAGAGAAGUCUCUGCCAUGACGCAGGCCGGUGAAGAUAAAGCAAUGAACCACAGAUGAUCUUCACUGGUCUGUCCGUGACUGCUCUGCUGUGAUUUCUGUGACAUGUCCUUCAAAAGAGCAUUCACCUUUCUUUUGCAGCUGCUGACCUCUUGCCUCUGCCUGUUUCUCCAUGUUUUACCAUCCACUUCAGAAAGGGGCUAGCAAUUAUGUGCCUGAUGUUUCCCUAACCUUGACCACCUUGAAAUGUGAUUUUGUGAUUUUUGUUGAAAUAUAGGACAUGGAUCCCUUGCAGGCUUUUACAAACAUGAGAGUUCCCAUGUGUCGUUGACACUGAUGAAUUGCUAGAUCACUACAGAACAACUUGGAAAUGGCAACGAAGCUGGCUCCACUGCAGCUAACUUGAGCUCCUAAGAGGGACCAGAGGGGUUUUUUGAUUCUUUUUAUUAUGUGAUAUCAAUUAAGCAUUUAACAAGUUACAAUAAAAAGCAACUUUCCAAUGGAAUUUUUAAUGCAAUGAAAACAAAUUACCUUCAAGAUGGUUAUCAUUUGGAAUCUUGAAGGGAAUGAAAAUAAGGCAAAUGCCAACACAUAUUCAUCCAGAUUGCCCAUAACAACUUGCCAGGCAUCCCUGUUUCAAAUCAAGUAAAUCUGUGCAGCUUCUCUUUGACAGCAACACAAAAUCCCUUGUGAAAUGCAUUGAAUGGCACAGCUGAGGCAGAAUGUUAGCAGAAGAUACUGCGCCAAGCAGCUUUUGUUUUGAAGUGGGUACUUCUGUUAUGCAAUCCUCUUAGAAUUUGCUUCUUUCAAAGAAUGAAAGACAAAAAAAAAUAGCCUCAGCAAACAAAAACCACAAAUCCCAUACAUUUCUUAACUUGGUUGAUGCUUCUCCACUUGGACACAGUAUAUUCACAGCAAUUCCAAAAUUCUGGCAUUGUCACAUACUAUAUUUGUGUCACUCAGCUGGAAUAAAGGACCAAAGAGUGCAUGGCUGGGAUGAAGGUGUUUAGUGGAAGUGUGAGGCUUCAACUCUCUCAACAAGAAACAUAAACAGAAAAUAGAAGUGAAAUUCACUAAUAUCAACAAUGUGCUAAAUAAGCCCAUGAGCAACUUUAACAACUCACUUUAAUUCUGAGACUUUCUGUAGUCACAAGGAAGAUGAGACUACGGACAGAAGUUUCAUAAUAUGGAAACAUGAAUUUAUAAGCUUAAGAUCUUGUCCAUGUAAUUUUGCAUAUAUCCAAAAUAAGGAAACCUAAUCUUAAUAUUGAAAACUUCUGAGCCCUUCAUCAAAGACUCACUUUAUCAACAGGUAUGAGGGAGAGUGCAGGUGGUUAACUCCCCAUACCAUUUCUCAUAAAAAGCCACUCUCAAAUCCACAUAUGCACUCUCAGGCUGUGGGGAUGAGUAGCAUAUUUUGCCCUUUCCCUGCUUCUUUGCCGUAGGGAGAAGUGGGGAAGGAGGCACAGAGUGGAGACAAGAGGAGGUGUGGACUGUGUUUCCUGUCCAUGAGGCACACCCAGCCAAACAGAUCAUGUGUGAAGGCAAAGCAUUGCUCUGAAGAGUGGUCUGGGCUCUGCAGGCCACCUGCUCUGGAGGGAGAAGCUGUCCCUCACUGAGCUCUCCCACAUUUGUACAACAUCCGACGCUACACUUUUGCAAGCUCACUCUACACAUGUUUUCUCACCAGUGUACACAAUGUUACAGGCACCAUUCCUCCUCCCCCAAACAAGAGGAUCCUUUCAUUUCACUAAGGCACAUUGUCACGCAGACUCUGGCAGCUUAUUUCUGGUGUGAUGUGAAUAUGCACAGCACUUCUAGAGAUGUGUUGCUGUCUUUGAAGUACAGGCAGAGAAUUAUCAUCUUUGCUGUCUCCCAUGACCGAUGCUGCCUCCACACUGCUCAUUUUUAUGGAGAUUACUUAUUUUCUUGUUUCCUCUGUUCUCUGCAGAGUGUACCAAACAUGCCACAGAGCAAGGAUACACUUGGUGCUUCCCCAAGACAUAUUAGCAACAUUAGUAUAUUUCAUCUUCUCUGACCUUUUCCCUGAUGUUCUCAGAACCUCAGAAAGUCUCAUGACAACAUGGAAAAAAACCCUCCCGUGCUCCCGUGCACAUAUGUGGGCUUUCUCUUCUGUUGCACUCAAGUUCAGUUAGAUGUUCUUCAGCCUUUGAUCUUCUUUAAUCAGAAGGAAGGAGGCUGAGGAAGGAGAAUAUGAGCUUUCUUUCAUCCUUGUUCUAAUUCUUAGGUCCAAUAAAGAGGACAGAACGAGGAUGGUCAGGGAAUU
This is a non-coding RNA of Cyanistes caeruleus (blue tit), 2400 nucleotides long. The record is from RefSeq and is a predicted model, not a curated record. NCBI's taxonomy places the organism in Eukaryota, Metazoa, Chordata, Aves, Passeriformes, Paridae.